AAGGGCACCACAAGAACGCGUGGAGCAUGUGGCUUAAUUUGACUCAACGCGGGAAAUCUUACCGGGUCCGGACACACUGAGGAUUGACAGAUAUACGCUACGUUGCGCUGCCUUCGGGUGCGCACGUGGCUCAAAGAUGCUAGUUCUUUCAUGAUUAUGUGAUAGGUGGUGCAUGGCCGUUCUUAGUUCGUGGAGUGAUCUGUCUGCUUAAUUGCGUAUCAAUAAUAGAGACCUAGUAUACGCGUAUUACUCAUGUGGUAGUGACCCCCUUCUCACGGAGGCGCGUGUCGCACAUAUGGUAUACGCACUGGUCUCAGAUAGCAACGAACGUGACCGUAUUCUAUUGUUGCAGUGAAUUAUACGUGUGCUUUAUUGUACACAUUCCCACUGCUUAGUGUGCGCUGCCAGCACUUGUUGCUGCUGCGUCACACAUUAAACUAUAGAGACCGCUGUUUCUUCUUUAAACCAGAGGAAGGAUACGGCAAUAACAGGUCUGUGAUGCCCUCAGAUGUUCCGGGCUGCACACGUGCUACAAUGAUCAUUGCACUGUGCAUCUAACCCAAUGUGCGCGGACGCCACGAUACGUAAAAUUGUCUUCGGGCAUUUUUUAUGUAUUCGCUUGUGCGACUGCGCCGAACCUACUUCGAAAGUAAAAUUUUUAAGUGGGUAAUCCAUUAGAAGUAAUGACUCGCAUAGACCAUGGCACACUAUAUGUACGCGCAGGUCUACCCGGCUCGCCUUUGUGUGAGUGCAGUGCGUAGCUUGUUGUUUCGUACGUGCCACUCCGUAUUAAUUCGUACGUGGGGAUAGAUCAUUGUUUAAUUGUUGGUCUCGGUCUUAACUAGGAAUGCCUUGUACGGGUCUUUGGUUCAACAUACCACCCGGAAUACGUCCCUGCCCUUUGUACACACCGCCCGUCGCUCUUACCGAUGGAUUAUACUAUGAAUCUAUAGGACUGCCAAAGCUUUGCGGCGUGUUCGCACACCGCGCUUAGUGGAAAUAUAUAUGAAUAGUGUGAUCUAAAGGAAAGAGAAGU
Molecule: ribosomal RNA, 1036 nt
Filed under: Ammonia corallinarum
Lineage: Eukaryota; Foraminifera; Rotaliida; Rotaliidae
Description: SSU rRNA
Rfam family: Eukaryotic small subunit ribosomal RNA
Source: RNAcentral